CUACGGGAGGCUCCAGUCGAGAAUUUUCGGCAAUGGACGCAAGUCUGACCGAGCAACGCCGCGUGUGCGAUGAAGGCCUUCGGGUUGUAAAGCACUGUCGAGGGGGAGAAAAACUGAUCGACCCCUGGAGGAAGGACGGGCUAAGUUCGUGCCAGCAGCCGCGGUAAGACGAACCGUCCAAACGUUAUUCGGAAUCACUGGGCUUAAAGGGCGCGUAGGCGGGUGGUCAAGUCAGGGGUGAAAUCCUCCAGCUUAACUGGAGAAGUGCCUCUGAUACUGGCUGUCUUGAGUGAGGUAGGGGCAUGUGGAACUUCCGGUGGAGCGGUGAAAUGCGUAGAUAUCGGAAGGAACGCCAGUGGCGAAAGCGAUAUGCUGGACCUUUUUCUGACGCUGAGGCGCGAAAGCUAGGGGAUCAAACGGGAUUAGAUACCCUCGUAGUC
Molecule: ribosomal RNA, 440 nt
Filed under: uncultured bacterium
Lineage: Bacteria
Description: partial 16S ribosomal RNA
Rfam family: Bacterial small subunit ribosomal RNA
Source: RNAcentral